AGAGUUUGAUCGUGGCUCAGAUUGAACGCUGGCGGCAUGCCUUACACAUGCAAGUCGAACGGCAGCACGGGGGCAACCCUGGUGGCGAGUGGCGAACGGGUGAGUAAUACAUCGGAACGUGUCCUGUAGUGGGGGAUAGCCCGGCGAAAGCCGGAUUAAUACCGCAUACGCUCUACGGAGGAAAGGGGGGGAUCUUAGGACCUCCCGCUACAGGGGCGGCCGAUGGCAGAUUAGCUAGUUGGUGGGGUAAAGGCCUACCAAGGCGACGAUCUGUAGCUGGUCUGAGAGGACGACCAGCCACACUGGGACUGAGACACGGCCCAGACUCCUACGGGAGGCAGCAGUGGGGAAUUUUGGACAAUGGGGGCAACCCUGAUCCAGCAAUGCCGCGUGUGUGAAGAAGGCCUUCGGGUUGUAAAGCACUUUUGUCCGGAAAGAAAACGCCGUGGUUAAUACCCGUGGCGGAUGACGGUACCGGAAGAUAGA
RNAcentral lists this ribosomal RNA (486 nucleotides) under uncultured organism. Its description in RNAcentral is "bacterial SSU rRNA". It matches the Rfam family "Bacterial small subunit ribosomal RNA", at positions 8 to 489 of the family's 1533-position model. The record is from RNAcentral.